AUGUUAGAGCCUGAAGUCAAGGAAAAGGCUAAACCAGCCCCUGAGAAGAAAGAGGCUGAAGUCAUCAAGGAGAAAGUUAAACCAGCUCCUGUAAAGAAAGAGCCUGAAGUUCCUAAAGAAAAGGCUCCUGAACCAAAACCCAAAAAAGAAGCAGAAGUUAUCAAAGAGAAAGUAAAACCAGCCCCUGAGAAGAAAGAGGCUGAAGUCAUCAAGGAAAAAGUUAAACCAGCUCCUGUAAAGAAAGAGCCUGACGUUCCUAAAGAGAAGGGACCUGAACCAAAACCCAAAAGAGAAGUCAUCAAGGAGAAACCUAAACCAGCACCUGAAAAGAAAGGUAAGAGUUACCGAUAUUGUGGAUUGAUAUGUGCUCAAAUUAAAGUCUAAUCUCAAAUUUACUCAAACUCAAUGAUGAUACUAAAGUUUUCUCAUUCUGUACAUAUUUUCAUUAUUUCAGAGACUGAAGUCAUCAAGGAGAAAGUUAAACCAGCUCCUGUAAAGAAAGGUAUGAAUAUCAGUGAAAUCAUCCUGCAUAUGCGUUUUUUU
RNAcentral lists this long non-coding RNA (543 nucleotides) under Sinocyclocheilus grahami. Its description in RNAcentral is "lncRNA (ENSSGRG00000031541.1)". The record is from RNAcentral. Lineage: Eukaryota; Metazoa; Chordata; Actinopteri; Cypriniformes; Cyprinidae.